RNAcentral lists this transfer RNA (66 nucleotides) under Syzygium samarangense (wax apple). RNAcentral describes it as "tRNA-Ile". The record is from RNAcentral. Lineage: Eukaryota; Viridiplantae; Streptophyta; Magnoliopsida; Myrtales; Myrtaceae.
UCUCGGUCGACUAAAAGGAAAGUCACCCCGGAUAAGGGAAAUAUUGGUUCAAAUCCAAUCUGAGAU